RNAcentral lists this ribosomal RNA (497 nucleotides) under uncultured bacterium. Its description in RNAcentral is "partial 16S ribosomal RNA". It matches the Rfam family "Bacterial small subunit ribosomal RNA", at positions 28 to 507 of the family's 1533-position model. The record is from RNAcentral.
GAUGAACGCUGGCGGCGUGCCUAAUACAUGCAAGUCGAGCGAACAGACGAGGAGCUUGCUCCUCUGACGUUAGCGGCGGACGGGUGAGUAACACGUGGAUAACCUACCUAUAAGACUGGGAUAACUUCGGGAAACCGGAGCUAAUACCGGAUAAUAUAUUGAACCGCAUGGUUCAAUAGUGAAAGACGGUUUUGCUGUCACUUGUAGAUGGAUCCGCGCCGCAUUAGCUAGUUGGUAAGGUAACGGCUUACCAAGGCAACGAUGCGUAGCCGACCUGAGAGGGUGAUCGGCCACACUGGAACUGAGACACGGUCCAGACUCCUACGGGAGGCAGCAGUAGGGAAUCUUCCGCAAUGGGCGAAAGCUUGACGGAGCAACGCCGCGUGAGUGAUGAAGGUCUUCGGAUCGUAAAACUCUGUUAUUAGGGAAGAACAAAUGUGUAAGUAACUAUGCACGUCUUGACGGUACCUAAUCAGAAAGCCACGGCUAACUACGUG